GCUUUUUGUUAGAUUCUGCCUGUCUAUGCUUCUUUGAAAAUACGCCUUGAGUCCUCCUGGGCUUGUUUGAACUCUUGCUGAGCCCACCUCCUUGCGUUGGUCCAUAACAUAGACUAUGGAAGCAAUUUUUCUAAUUAAGAGGAUUGAUAGAGAAGCACUAGGAGAACAGAAAAGAACUAGAAAUGGUUUUUAUUGAUCUAGAGCUUGUGACUGUCUGAGAUGUGGCCUAUGGUGGGUUUUGGAGCAAAAAGGAAUAUCUAUUGGAUGCAUUGCAGUGUCAAAGGAUAUGUAUG
This 293-nucleotide unclassified non-coding RNA is filed under the name Hevea brasiliensis (rubber tree). The record is from RNAcentral. Lineage: Eukaryota; Viridiplantae; Streptophyta; Magnoliopsida; Malpighiales; Euphorbiaceae.